Molecule: long non-coding RNA, 2713 nt
Organism: Gasterosteus aculeatus aculeatus (three-spined stickleback)
Lineage: Eukaryota; Metazoa; Chordata; Actinopteri; Perciformes; Gasterosteidae
Source: Ensembl
CACAGGUUCUCACCCUGGGACGAAUGAAGUCUCUCCAUCUCCGGUGAAAGGCUCUCAUCUCGCUGUCCACUCUUCUCUGAAUCAUGUAAUACUGGUCCUGUCUCUCCCAUCCCUCUGAAUGUCACUCAGACACAUAUUUGAUUGCUGAGUAGCCGCACGUGAUGCAAUUUGCAACUCAUUCUAUUGGUCGAUGUGGUUCUUGAGCUGCUGAACGAGUACAGUAAGGCAGCAGCAGCUGAAGGUAGGAUUAUAUUGUGAUGUAAUGUUGCAUAGAGAUCAUGUUAUAAACAAUUGUUGUCUAAACUGAUAUCAACAUGUAUACAACUCCAACACCUCUUGGAUAUGUCUUACUUAGCCAGUGGCAUUGAACUAGUGGUUAACUGGACUCCAUCUGGUAACUUUUCACUUGCCUCUGUAAACUUUUAAGUUUCAUUACCCAGAAUGCAACAGUCCCUGGAUUCCUGAAUACAAAGACUUUUUUGCUGCAGCGUUUGUGUUUCAGCUUCAGUCAAAAAUGUUAAUACAUGUCAUUACCAUAAACCUUUCAUUAUUCUCAAAAAAGUAGUUGCUGUUACUAUAAAGCCUGGUGUUAGCUGAUGACGUUGUCGUGUGUGUGUGUGUGUGUGUGUGUGUGUGUGUGUGUGUGUGUGUGUGUGUGUGUGUGUGUGUGUGUGUGUGUGUGUGUGUGUGUGUGUGUGUGUGUGUGUGUGUGCGUGCGAGUGUGUGUGUGUGUGUGUGUGUGUGUGCGCGCACGCAUGCUCGGGUACGUAGUGUAUGAGAAAACGUAGCCAUGUAUAAAAUUGCCUUUGCUGGCUGGUUGCUCAUAUUCACUCAACCAGUCAUGUAGCUCCACAGAGAAACCAUCGUUAAAAUCACCUUGAAUGGUGAUUCUCUCUCUCUCUCUCUCUCUCUCUCUCUCUCUCGCUCUCUCUCUCUCUCUCUCUCUCUCUCUCUCUCUCUCUCUCUCUCUCUCUCUCUCUCUCUCCCCCUCCAGUUCCAAAGGGUGAGCUCUAUUUUAGCAGCCAGCCAUACGAGUGUGCCCGAAUUCAAAUUGAAACCUGCCCAUUUAUGAAUCAAAUUGGUUCCGCAUAUACAUUUUCCAUAGCACAUUGCCCCGCAUCAGAAUGUGUUUAGAUAAGUCUGCCUGUGUGUUUUUGUGUGUGUGUGGGUGUUUUUAUUGGAGGACUUUACUUAUAGUGUGUGUGUGUGAGCGCGUGCAUUUAUAAAUCAUGCCAUUAUUACCUUCAUCAACUUUGUUUACAGUACACUUGACUUAUGAAGCAUAUACAUGCAUGUAUUACUUUACCCCAGUAUGACAUUGUUUAUCCACAAAAUAGUGAUAAUACAUACGUGGCUUGUCAUCGUUCCCUCAGUGGACAAUAUAUUAGUUUCACAAAGCUGCACUGACCCCUAAUUGGACUUAAGUUGAAAUUCUCCCCAAUUAGUUUCUAAACUUCAAGUGGCAACCUCAAAGGUUUUUUUUUGAUGAAUCACGCCGUAUUUAAUUAUAGUCUUUCUUACAAACUUAUGUUUACUCUUUUUUCUAUAAUGUAAAAUGUCCAACAAACUGUUUUACAUAGAAGAAAUGACCUUUAGAAUGUUACACACAGCAGUGGACAUUAACCUCCCAAUCCCAAAUAUUUCCACCAUUGAUUACUUUCCUCGGUACUUUCAAUGUUGUCUGACUUGACGGAUUUUGACAGUCAGACAGCAGCUUCCACUCGCCGUGAUCGUUUUACUUCCUCUCCAUAACAAAGCUGGUAGCCGAGUGGAGUCGGUUUAGGUUCCCCUCUCAUAUACAUUCAGCUUCUUUCAAUUGCAAAUGAAGAACUGGGUGAGUGCACCAGCUUUGGGACCUUUUCCAUGUGGACUUCAGAGUUUAAAAAAGGGGAAUUACUUUGACAUACUGGCAGGCAUAUUGGUUUGAUUAAACUUGUUUGUGAAACGCUUUUAUAAAUGAGGCCGCGGGGCAGGAAAAGCAUAAUCAAAGGGGCCAUGAGUGAUUAGUCACACAAUAGACUCUAACUUAAGCACAUCCAAUAUUCAGCCGUAACAAUAAACACAUCUGGAACACCGCAUAAUAAAAAUAAUUCCUCAAGGCCAAUUACAGUAACUGUAUUGAGUUUUAUGAGCCCAGGAUGUUAUGUUAGUGUCCUGAUUUUGAAUGUGGAGUUUUGCUUUUUUUCUGAACAAAUCAACUAACUUUCAGAAAAAUAUUAGAACAGCAUGUCACAUGUAACGCUGCAGGAAAUUAAGACUUCACGUCUGUCAAUCAUCUCUUUUCUAUACUCUAAAUAUUCCCCACUUUGCACAUGUUUUUCAACCUCGUCAGUUCCUCCGAAAGAGAGAACACAGACAGAAUAUUGAGGAAUUAAGUGGAGAUUAUUAGUAUUUUCAAGGCUUAAGAGAAAAACGAAAAAAGGAAGGAAGGGAGCUAAAAGAGAGUCGUAUGCUCCCUCGCUCCUCAUCUCUCCUGAGCAGGAAGAGACGGCGAGGGGAAAAAACCGAGUGGACGUGGUGGGAUGGAAAAUGUGAGGAGCGGAGGCCGUGGCCGAGCGGGCGCUUUUCACCAGUACAACUGUCCUAUUGUCUGACUCGCGAUCGGAGACCGAGCGCACGAGAAACACAGACGUGCAGUUGUGUUGUUGUCACAACUGUCAUCAAACGCUGAGUAAACGGUUUGUCCAAACCAUGAUCACACACAGAGAGAGAG